UACGGAGGGUGCGAACGUUAAUCGGAAUCACUGGGCGUAAAGCGCGCGUAGGCGGUUUGUUAAGUGGGAUGUGAAAUCCCCGGGCUUAACCUGGGAAUUGCAUUUCAAACUGGCCGACUAGAGUACGGUAGAGGGAGGUAGAAUUUCCUGUGUAGCGGUGAAAUGCGUAGAUAUAGGAAGGAAUACCAGUGGCGAAGGCGGGUCUCUGGACAGUUCCUGACGCUGAGGCGCGAAGGCCAGGGGAGCAAACGGG
This 253-nucleotide ribosomal RNA is filed under the name uncultured bacterium. RNAcentral describes it as "partial 16S ribosomal RNA". It matches the Rfam family "Bacterial small subunit ribosomal RNA", at positions 524 to 776 of the family's 1533-position model. The record is from RNAcentral.